GCCGGGCGUGGUGGCGGGCGCCUGUAGUCCCAGCUACUCGGGAGGCUGAGGCAGAAGAAUUGCUUGAACCUGGGAGGCCGAGGUUGCAGUGAGCCAAGAUUGCACCAUUGCACUCCAGCCUGGGUGACAGAGCAAGACUCCGUCUUUA
RNAcentral lists this small RNA (148 nucleotides) under Macaca mulatta (Rhesus monkey). RNAcentral describes it as "Metazoan signal recognition particle RNA (ENSMMUG00000060730.1)". The record is from Rfam by way of RNAcentral. Lineage: Eukaryota; Metazoa; Chordata; Mammalia; Primates; Cercopithecidae.